GCCGUUGAUGACCAAAUCAAAAUAUUUACAAACUAGAGUUUCUGAACUUUAAUGAUUAGAAAACUGAUCAUAAUUUCUGAGG
RNAcentral lists this small nucleolar RNA (82 nucleotides) under Kazachstania africana CBS 2517. Its description in RNAcentral is "Small nucleolar RNA snR78". It matches the Rfam family "Small nucleolar RNA snR78". Lineage: Eukaryota; Fungi; Ascomycota; Saccharomycetes; Saccharomycetales; Saccharomycetaceae. The record is from Rfam by way of RNAcentral.